AGAGUGAGUUCAAGACGAACUCCGCAAGUAUAACAACUAGAUUGUAUAGAUCCCACAAUCUCAUAAUCAAUGUGACAUAAAUAAUGUAGAGCAUUAAACAAUAAUCAAUGAGUUUCUUAACACAAGAUUCAUCACCCUUAAUGUAAGAGUUCCCAAGGCCGCUCGUGACCGUGAGCACGGCUAGUAUACCAGUUUUUAACACUCUGCAGAGGUUGUACAUCUUUACCCAUGAGUCAUGAUUUACCCUUUCGCCUGAGGUGAUCAGCCUCGUAACCCACUACUAAGGUAGGUCGGCAGGGAUCACUAUGAAGUCUUUCAAAGGUUCGUCUAACAAGUUAGAGCCGCUUGGUUUCGUUAGUCAGUCUGUGUGAUUCUACCCCGCAGGGGAUCCACGGUCUGCUAUCCCCCAUUUGCGCCACACGGGUAACCUCUAACAAGCUAGAAAAAUUACUCAUACUUGACUAAAGCCAGAGCCAUUAUAGCCCUCAUGGUUGCACUUUCAUCCCGGUUAUCACUUACGAAUAAAUCCUCAAGUUGCUAAAAAGUCAUCAUUAUCAUUUGUUGCUUUAUAUUAAUCUAUUCACAAGAUCAUAGUCAUAGAAUUAAAAUCCAAAUGCUAUACUUGCCUUGAUCCAAUUGCUCCUGCUAGUCCUGCUGAUUUUACUGGCUUCCAAGACUCUGAUCUUGAUAACCGAAGUAAUACCCACUGUCUAAUCUCGAUCAUCGAUUAUCAACACACAAACAAUCGGAGACAGACAUACACGAAGCAAACAAGAUUAUAAUUAGAACAGUACACCAGCAGUAAAUAAAUUUAAAUAAAUGUUUUCCAAAAUCAUCUACACGCUGCUACGAUCAUGUCAACGAGAAAUUUACGGAAAAUGGAGUUACGACGCGAAAGUUACGCUUUUAACGGGACUUCAACAGCAGUUUACGGACUUGUAAUUAACUAGGGAAUCUACGAAGCUUAUGAAAUUAUUAAACUAACGCAACUUGAACGGAUCGAAUCGGAGCUAAAACGGAGAAGAUAUGAAUUUUCUAGGAUCUUAUAUAGAAAAGUAAUUAAUUAAAUAGGGUCACAAAAUUAAAAUGUUUCAAAUUGAUGAAACAAUUAGACUAACAUGUAAAGCUCGUGAUUACGAAUCUAACGUAAUUUGAACGGGUCAAAUCGGAGUUAAAACGAAUAUUUUAUGGCCAAAACAUUGCAGUGGCAAUUCUGUAAUUAAUUUGAAGUCGAAAAUGAAAUUUAAAUCAAAUUUCAAUCUGGAUCUAGAGUUGGCCUAGGACUGCGGGUUCUAUAUCUAUGAAGUCUAGGGGCUCUUUAAUAAAAAUCCCCGCGAAGGGGUAAGUUCUAAUCAUGGCCGUUGGAUCAAGCUUGGAUGCGCAUGAUUAAAAGAAAAAAAAGAAAAAAAGAGAGAGAGAGGGAGGGGGUGGCACACCGGCCAGAGCUGGGCAGAGACACGGCGGUGGCCAUGGAUUCCGGCCAAAGCUCGCCGGCGCAAAUGGAUCGGGAGCUACGGUGCAUGGUUUUCGAUUCCGAAAGCACCGGGGGAGAGAGAAGGACGACGCGAACCCACCCCUGCCUACUGCGCGGCCGGGGAGCGCCCACGAGGCAUGCUCCAUGGCCGGCGGCCAUAGAGCUCGCUGGAGCACGCGACUAGAGCGCUAGAGGGCACCAAUUCACGCGAAAAUUGGUGGGAAGAACUCGGGGAAGAAGAGGAGCUCACCAGCGCGACCAAUUUCAGUAGGGACGGCUCGGUUUUUGAGUUGAGCGCGGAUGUCGCCGGCGGCGUCCUUCGCUAUGGCUGCUGCGCGCUCCAAGGCGAAGGUAGGGGCAGGGAGAGAGGGGAAUGGAGAGAGGAUGGGGCUCGGGCUCGCACGCAACUCAAAUCACCAAGGCGCGGGGGCUAGCGAGUGGAGAACGUGGGAGCGGCUUCGGCUCGGGCGGUUGCGCAGCAGAGAAAGGGGAGAGGGAGGGGGCGGUUGGAGGAAGAAGAAGUUGCUGACGGGUGGGUCCCACAUGGCAGAGAGAGAAAGGGAAAGGAGGAGGCGGGCUGGCAGAUGCUGCGCGAGUUGGGCCGGGCUGGAAUGAGAGAGAGGGGGAGGGAAUAGGAUUUUUCUUUUUAUUUUUCAAUAAAUUUUCAAAGCUCAUUUUUUUAAAUUUGAAUUUGAAUAAAUUCUCUUUGCAAAACUUCACACAUCACAAAAAUGAAUGUUGCAGCAUGUAUGCAUCAAUAUAUUUCUAAUCUUACAGUAAAUUUUAAUUUCCCAAAAAUUAUUAUUUUUCCUAUAUUUUGAUGCUCACAAAAUUGACUCAAUAAAUCAAAUUCAACUAUUUAAAACAAGAGAAUUUUUAGGGUGUUACAAUUCUACCCCCUUAAAAUAAAUCUCGUCCUCGAGAUUCGGAAGAGGCUCCGAUCCUCUCAGAGAAACAGGAAAAUAUCUUGAUAAUCCUUUCAACUUCACAACUUGCAUACCAAACUUAAACGCUUGUCUCAAGGCCACACCUCGUGAACAUAACUUCCGUUGAAUAACUAUUAUUCAUAAUUGACCAAAGUCCAUCUUGACUACUAACUUCUUUUAAC
This 2582-nucleotide long non-coding RNA is filed under the name Sorghum bicolor (sorghum). RNAcentral describes it as "long non-coding RNA (SBIC_LNC009147)". Lineage: Eukaryota; Viridiplantae; Streptophyta; Magnoliopsida; Poales; Poaceae. The record is from RNAcentral.